GAGUUUGAUCCUGGCUCAGGACGAACGCUGGCGGCGUGCCUAAUACAUGCAAGUCGAGCGAAUGGAUGGGAGCUUGCUCCCAGAAGUUAGCGGCGGACGGGUGAGUAACACGUGGGCAAGAAUGGAUGGGAGCUUGCUCCCAGAAGUUAGCGGCGGACGGGUNAGUNACACGUGGGCAACCUACCUGUAAGACUGGGAUAACUUCGGGAAACCGGAGCUAAUACCGGAUAACUUCCUUUCUUCUCCUGGAGAAAGGUUGAAAGACGGCUUCGGCUAUCACUUACAGAUGGGCCCGCGGCGCAUUAGCUUGUUGGUGAGGUAACGGCUCACCAAGGCAACGAUGCGUAGCCGACCUGAGAGGGUGAUCGGCCACACUGGGACUGAGACACGGCCCAGACUCCUACGGGAGGCAGCAGUAGGGAAUCUUCCGCAAUGGACGAAAGUCUGACGGAGCAACGCCGCGUGAGUGAUGAAGGUUUUCGGAUCGUGAAACUAUGUUAUCAGGGAAGAACUAGUGUCGGAGUAACUGCCGGUGCCUAAACGGUACCUGACCAGAAAGCCACGGCUAACUACGUGCCAGCAGCCGCGGUAAUACGUAGGUGGCAAGCGUUGUCCGGAAUUAUUGGGCGUAAAGCGCGCGCAGGCGGUUUCUUAAGUCUGAUGUGAAAGCCCACGGCUCAACCGUGGAAGGUCAUUGGAAACUGGGAGACUUGAGUGCAGAAAGAGAAGAGCGGAAUUCCACGUGUAGCGGUGAAAUGCGUAGAGAUGUGGAGGAACACCAGUGGCGAAGGCGGCUCUUUGGUCUGUAACUGACGCUGAGGCGCGAAAGCGUGGGGAGCGAACAGGAUUAGAUCCCCUGGUAGUCCACGCCGUAAACGAUGAGUGCUAUGUGUUAGAGGGUUUCCGCCCUUUAGUGCUGCAGUUAACGCAUUAAGCACUCCGCCUGGGGAGUACGGCCGCAAGGCUGAAACUCAAAGGAAUUGACGGGGGCCCGCACAAGCGGUGGAGCAUGUGGUUUAAUUCGAAGCAACGCGAAGAACCUUACCAGGUCUUGACAUCCUCUGACCACCCUAGAGAUAGGGACUUCCCCUUCGGGGGACAGAGUGACAGGUGGUGCAUGGUUGUCGUCAGCUCGUGUCGUGAGAUGUUGGGUUAAGUCCCGCAACGAGCGCAACCCUUAACCUUAGUUGCCAGCAUUCAGUUGGGCACUCUAAGGUGACUGCCGGUGACAAACCGGAGGAAGGUGGGGAUGACGUCAAAUCAUCAUGCCCCUUAUGACCUGGGCUACACACGUGCUACAAUGGAUGGUACAAAGGGUUGCAAGACCGCGAGGUUUAGCUAAUCCCAUAAAACCAUUCUCAGUUCGGAUUGCAGGCUGCAACUCGCCUGCAUGAAGCCGGAAUCGCUAGUAAUCGUGGAUCAGCAUGCCACGGUGAAUACGCUCGCCUGCAUGAAGCCGGAAUCGCUAGUAAUCGUGGAUCAGCAUGCCACGGUGAAUACGCGGUGGGGUAACCCUUACGGGAGCCAGCCGCCGAAGGUGGGACAGAUGAUUGGGGUGAAGCCUUGUACACACCGCCCGUCACAC
RNAcentral lists this ribosomal RNA (1585 nucleotides) under Lederbergia lenta. RNAcentral describes it as "bacterial SSU rRNA". It matches the Rfam family "Bacterial small subunit ribosomal RNA". The record is from RNAcentral. Lineage: Bacteria; Bacillati; Bacillota; Bacilli; Caryophanales; Bacillaceae.